Molecule: long non-coding RNA, 828 nt
Filed under: Numida meleagris (helmeted guineafowl)
Lineage: Eukaryota; Metazoa; Chordata; Aves; Galliformes; Numididae
Description: lncRNA (ENSNMEG00000011532.1)
Source: RNAcentral
UUUGUCUAACAGAAGUGCCAGAGCUUGCAAAGCUCAGAUCCCACCACCACAAGGGACUUACAUCCAGGAGGCGCCAGGCCCCGGCAUUUUUCUGCUGCUGACACCAAGCUCAGCUUUUAAAGCUGCCUUCACUGACAGCCUUGGGCUUGAUCCUUGCAGCCUGUGGUAUUUAGGAGGACAGGGUAUACAAUCCACCAGCUUCUUUCUGUCUUUAAUUUCUAGGAAACUAUUAUAGAGCCUUCCAAAAAGGCUCACGUCUGCCUGCCAGCACCACAUUAGCAUGACUACUGCUUUGAAACACGGUAACUACAGCAGCUCAGUAUCUGUAAUGCAUCCCCUGCUGUACUGUGUAGCUUUGCACACGCCUAUGUGCCAUUAAUGAAUCAUCACGUGGGAAGUGUUUUCAUUAUCCCUUGCCUUUCUAGCACUGGGGUUUCUUGGCAAAUGUGCAGCCCAGGCCACAGCAGCUGUCUGUCUCACUCUCCUUCAUUUAGAUUAAAAAUGUUUUUUGUUGUUGUUGUUUUGAAGUGCCCAUUGAAGUGACAGGAUGGAGAAGGAUGGCUAAGUCCAAGUCCGAAUAUCUUUAUUUCAAGACUACGCUAAUAGCCUCUAAGAAUUUUUCUCUGCUGCACUUCAGAUAAGAGUGGUCAAACAUGAAUGAUAGUCGUUCGGGACAAGGGUCAUUUCAGAGCAGCCAGCGUCAGACCCAACCGAGUGAAGCCAGGAGGGACUUUAAAAUGUAAUUCAGCCAGAAGAACAGGACACGGAUCAGCAAGGGAGAACCAAAAAGUACGGGGAGAUCAAUAUGGAGAAACACCUACAUUCAGC